RNAcentral lists this long non-coding RNA (7217 nucleotides) under Zea mays. RNAcentral's name for it is "long non-coding RNA (ZMAY_LNC002291)". Lineage: Eukaryota; Viridiplantae; Streptophyta; Magnoliopsida; Poales; Poaceae. The record is from RNAcentral.
UGCCUAUUUAUUCAGUGUGUUCCAUGGCUGAGUUCAGAAAAGCUUUUCUCCCUUCUUCUCGAGCUGUAGUCCUAGUCCACUACAAAGGUGUUGGAGUCCUGGUAUUCUUGCUGGUGUGCAUCCUCUCUUUCAGCCACCAAGUUUGUUGUCUAGUGCAUCGCGUGUCAUGGUGACCACGCCCACUCGAGCUCACCCUCACCAUGGCCAGCAUUCGUCGGAGGUUGUCUCGGUCAUGUGGUGCCAGUUCCCUACUCCUCGUAGGUUAGUGAAGCUCACACCAUUUACUACUUGAACUCUACCACUGUCUGUUGCUGGGAACUAGGUGUAAAAUUCGCUCAAAGAUAGGUUGUCAGGUUUCUGGAUCCCAGACUUAGUGCAGAAGGCUGAAACUAGGUUUUAGUGUGUUGAGCUCAACUUUCGAGCUCUAUUGUGCCCAGUCUAUUUGGUUUUGGGCCAAAGUUCUGUAGCAAGUUUGAAGACCAUAAUAAGAUGAACAAAAUUACUAAAGAGAGAUGGGCUAGGUACUACACAAAAUUGGGAGUAAAACAUGUCCAAAUCUUCUCUGUCAGACUUAACGAAUGCUGGUUCAGAACACUAAAAUGGGGUUGCAGUGGUUUUGGCUCUACUUUGGUGCUUCAUAAAAAAUGUUCUGAAUGUUUUCAACCUAGGGGUGCUAUACCAAAGUAGUAGAGCUAUAUCUAAGGAAUAACUUUGGUAAGGUGAGCUUAGUCUGUUGUUGUGUAAAAAUUGGAGAAAAGGUUGGCUAAAGUUGGACUGUCAGGCUAGACAUAACUGAAUUUUGUUAUUCAGUUCUGAGAACUGAAUUGCAGCAGGAUGCCUAGUUUGAAAUUCAUUUGUGACUGAUUCAUGGGGUUUUGGAUUUCCAUAGCAAAGCUGGAGACCAUAGUAAAGUGAGCAAGUUUUAUAAAGUGAGGUGGACUUGGUUCCACAUAAAUUUGGGAGUAAAAGUGGCCAAAAGGUGGACUGUUAGGUGUUGGGAUCAGACUUAGAAUAAUAUUUAAGUCUGAAUUUGUGUGUUUUUAUUCAAAUUUGGGUCCUUGUGGUAAUUAAUCCAAGAAGAAUUGGGGUAGGAAUGCUAUAGCAAAGUGAAAGACCAUGUCAAGGAGAGAAAGUGUCAUACAGAGAAUUGGUUUGCUAAUAUAAAGAAUUUAGAGAAAAAGGAGUUGAAAAACUCUCUGUCAGAUUAAACAUGUGUUGUUUCAGACUUCUAAAAUUGGAAUGUUUCAGUGUUUUUGCUAUGUUUUGGUGCAGCAUAGCUUGUGUUUUGUACGAUUUUGACCUUGGACUGUUGUAGCAAACUGGUAGUGCUAUGGUUUGGGAGCAGGCUUGGCCAACUAAGUUGGUGUGGUGCUAUAGAAAAUGAUGAGUUUAAGGUACAUGUACAGGAGGGUUCAGGUGGACAGUAAGGUGUAAUUAGAAGUACUUAAUGUUAUCCUCUUUGUAACUGCAUAAGCAUAAACAUCCAUGAUCAUGUCAUUUCAUGUAGAACUCCCAGCAGGAAUGAAGAUUCAAGCUGAAGUGGUGACUGAAGAGAAAUCUACUCCGGUGAUUGAAGAGGAAUCUAGACCUCUUCACUGCAACAAAGGCAAGCCCCGGUGCAUGCAACCCCUUUCUUGUAUUUUUAAAAGACUUUUAUACACUUUAAGUCUAGUGAAAUGUGCAUUAAGUUUAUAGGAGUUGCUUGGAAACUAUUUGAUACAUUGACUACCUUGAUAUCCAUUCCUAUUAUAGAUACUUCUUUGGAAGUAUCAAAUAUUGUUUAUAAAAAUUGCUUAGCCCUGCCUAGAGGUAAAUCUUGCAGAUAUAAUUUGUCCUUUGCAUUAAUGCCUAGCUCAGGGUUUAUCCUGAGGAAGGAUGGCUCUACCUACAAGAAUAUUUUCAUCGGGAUCAUGGGGAGAUCUAAAGUAAGGUUCCCUGUGAUGUUUUAAUCAUCCUAAGAUACAUAAAUAAGUUCGAAGGAUGAAAGUACUUAAUUCGAGACUUGGGCUAGGAAUAGGUGAUGUUCUGCCCAGGUUGAUUAAGGAUUAUAGGGAAUGUAGGCUUGAUGAUCGAGGACUAUAUUAACUAGCCACAUGUCCUGGUAUGGGACAGGGUAAGCCUAAUCUUAGCUUGACCAAUACCAGAAAGGCUACCACGCAAUGGGAGUGGAGAGAUGGCGAGAGUAGCAUGUACCUGUUGAAAGCUAAAAAGAGCCUCGCGGACGGUCCGGACAGUCCGCGGUGGUGGCGCGGACGGUCCGCGUGUCCGCAGAGUCAGUUAGGGUUCCUAGUUUCUCGCGGGAUUUGUUACCUAAAAUCGCGGGAUUAACUCAGAAAACAGUUUGAAGCGGAUCCAUACCUCCCCCUUUAUAUAGAUGAAGGGCUACGACCGAUUGAACCCCAACAAUCGAUCAAAUCAAGUCUAUUUCUCGUUUUUUACCUUGUGCAUUAGGAGUAGCUCUAGUUUAGUUCUAGUUUAGUAUUUCAAUCCCCAAAUUCUCCGCUUCUCUUCGGCUCUACGUCGAUUAGAGGAGUCUAGGUCGGCCUGCCGAGCCUAGACAACAUCUCGGAUCUCUCCUCCCCGACGGGGUCCCUCCCGGGAGCGAGAUCCAAGCGCCGCCGGCAACCUUUGGCGCCCCUGCGCACGCGCGGACCGUUCGACCUUUAGGCGCGGACCGUCCGGCCGUCAGGCAGGGAACCCAAGCCCCUAUUCCAGGUGGCGAACUGUCCAGCCCCUGGCCGCGGACCGUCCGCGCCUCUGCAGAGGGCACCGCCACCGGUUCUCGUUAUAGUGAUUGGCGCCCUAAAAGGUGUCAACAUACUUUUGGCGACUCCGCUGGGGACAGGUGUUUAGAUCUAAAAAUCAGGCCCUCAAAUGUCGGUUCUAAAGAUCACAUCGAUAUCUCCCCGGACAAUAUCCUAAAGCCGCCUGUUGAAAGUCUGACGACCGAUGAGCAACAACAAUAUGAGGACUACAUGCGUCAAGCGAAGGAGAAAUUCUUAUCACAAUACAUGGUGGAUCGCCACCAGAAAGUUAUCAAACAUGGAGAGACCGACGUCGCAUCUCUUCUAUCUUCGCUUCAAGUCCCCAACGUAAGUAAACCCGACAACAUCCAAUCUAUUAAACAGUAUGUAGAUCAUCAGCAAAAUCAAAUGAAACAACAGAUUGGAGGGUUAGAAGAGUCAAUUAGAAAAUUAACGCGUACGUUGGAAAAGUCUGUUGCUCCUAGUUUUCCAUCAUACGAAACUAGUAAUAGGGUAUUUAUGUCUGAUGUAUCGGCAACAAAUGGGGAUUCGCAACCCCAGCCUUUGUAUGGUAUGCCGAUGAACUCAUAUUCAGGGCAAAUACAACCACCGCCGUCCCUGCUUGGCAGAUCGGCACCCCUGAACAUGGUCGGACCGUCCGAGCCUCUGCCCGGACCGUCCGGCCCAUACGCAGACCGUAUGGCUUGCUCUGGCGGACAGUCCAGGGCCGCCCUAGGACCACCGCCAUCCCUGAUUGGCAGAUCGGUGACCCUAGACGCAGUCGGACCAUCCGAGCUUCUACCCGGACCGUCUGGCCCUUACGCGGACCGUUCAACUUUCCCUAUCGGACAGUCCAGGGCCGCACCAGGACUACCAUGUGGUGUCUCGAUAAUGGCCAACGCAACCGGUCAGUUCGGAUUUACCACCGGACAAACCGGAUACGCAUAUGCAGAACCUGUUGUUGCACACCUUGCACCAAAUUAUUACACACCACAGCAGUAGUAUGUUUCACCCUUUACAUACUUAAACCAUAACGCACCAUACAAUCAUAGACUGAUCAACACUAUCGAUCGGUCACGGCAAGAAGGUCGGUAUGCUAAUGCCCGACCAAAUGAGCCCCACAGCCCAGGAUCCGGUGGUCUACCAUCGGGUGCAAUGGAAAAAAUUAGGGAAGAGAUGACUGAGCUAUUUCAAGAUAAGUUCGUAGUUAGUGUAGCCAGAGUGGGGCAAUCAUACCAAAAGCCAUAUAAUCACCGUUUUGACACUGUCCCAUAUCCACAAGGGGCAAGGAUACCAGAAUUUUCUAAGUUUUCUGGUGAGAAUGGAAGAAACACACACGAACACAUAGGCUAGUUCCUAGCACACCUAGGCGAAUUGGCCGAUGGAGAAGCAUUUCGUGUUCCUUUAUUUUCUUUAUCCCUUACUGGUACCGCUUUUGCAUGGUACGCCUCCCUGCCUCCUAAUUCCAUUAAUUUCUGGAAUGAGUUAGAAAGUAAAUUUCAUGAACAUUUCUUUGUCGGGGAAUAUGAAUUAGGACUAGCUGACUUAGCUUCAGUCCGACAAGGACGCGAAGAAUCGGUUAAUGAUUAUAUCCGGAGGUUCUGGGACACUAGAAACCGAUGCUUUCGGAUCCAUGUCACUGACAAAGAGCUAGCAGGGCUAGCUUUUAAUGGGUUGCUAUCCUACUUAAGAGACAAAUUAGAUGGGACCCACUUAUUUUCGAUAGCGCAGCUACAUCAGCAGGCUUUAGCCUAUGAAAGCUGAUUUAAUGAGACGUCAAAAUCGGCCGCCCGUACUAUACAUCUAAUAGAGCGUGAUAGUUCAGAUGAUGAAUCCGCAGAUGUAUAUACCGCUGAGUUUAUUUGGCCAACAAAGGCCAAAUCUUCGGCAUGUUCUUCCUUACAGCCGGUUCAAAAGAAUCGGCAAGAAGAGAUUAAAUUUACCUUUAAUGUUGUCAAAUGCGAUAAGAUAUUUGACGAGCUACUUAAAAAUGGCAAUAUUAAAUUAACUCAUACUAUCCCUCCUAUAGAUGAAUUAAAGAGACGUGCUUAUUGUAAGUGACAUAAUUCUUUUUCUCAUGCCACCAAUGACUGUAAUGUUUUUCGUCAACAUGUACAAUCGGCCAUAAAUGAGGGCCGAUUGGCUUUUCAGGAGAUGCAAGUGGACACACAACCAUUUCCUGUUAAUACAAUAGAUAUCGCAUGCAAAAAGAUCUUAGUUCAGCCCAAAACGACCGAUAAAGGCAAAAGCAAAGACAUCAUCAUUGGCAAUCCUCGCAUGUCAAAUAUAUCACAGAAGGAGAUUGCUCGAAAGGCUUCGGACGAUAAGGCUAAAAAGUUCGGAGGCACCGGGGGGCAGGCACAAUUAAUGAGCCAAGCACGACAGCCUGGCCUGAGCAUCACGGACGGUCUGACACAUACGUGCGGACGGUCCGGUGCUCAGACAGACGGUCCGGCUAACUCUGCCGGACAGUCCACCUAUGGCCAAAGGCAUCAGCCUCCACACAAAGCUUUAAAAGGGAAAGAGAUGCAAUGGCAAAGCACAUAUGGUCGGCUGAUCAAAGCUGACCCUACUUUUGAUCAGUUGCUCUCCAAGAAUACUAGGAAGAAGACUGUUCUACAUGGUCGGUCAACGAAGAAACCCCGGUCACCUACUAAAACGAAACGGGUAAACAAAACGGCCCUAAAGGCGACACAACAAGCAUCGCCUAUUCAUCCCAUGAGACCAGGGUACUUUCCACCCGUUUACUCAUCGUCGGUAUAUUAUCUUGUUCAAAUAUGGAAUGGUAUGAUGAUGAAUCCAUGGUACAUGUAUAGUCCUUUUGUCUAUCCAGACUGGGGGCACCUCCAUUCUAUUCUUUUUGAUCCAUUGAUCAAAUGGCCAUGGUCGAGAAAGAUACAAUCUGAAACGGCCUUUAUACAUUGGUGCUUUAUUGAAUGAUCUCAAUAUUGAAAAGCCGGUGACUUACAUCAGGUUUAGUUCAUAUGCUUUUGGUUCGUCAACCUUCACCAAAAGGCAGGGGGCAUAUGUUACGGCCGAUUGAACCCCCCAACAAUCGAUCAAAUCAAGUCUAUUUCUCGUUUUUUUUACCUUAUGCAUUAGGAGUAGCUCUAGUUUAGUUCUAGUUUAGUAUUUCAAUCCCCAAAUUCUCCGCUUCUCUUUUGCUCUACAUCGAUUAGAGGAGUCUAGGUCGGCCUACCGAGCCUAGACAACAUCUAGGAUUUCUCCUCCCCGACGGGGUCCCUCUCGGGAGCGAGAUCCAGGCACCGCCGGCAACCUUUGUCGCCCCUGCGCACGCGCGGACCGUCCGACCUUUAGGCGCGGACCGUCCGACCGUCAGGCAGGGAACCCAAGCCCCUAUUCUAGGUCGCGGACUGUCCGACCCCUGGCCGCGGACCGUCCGCGCCUCUGCAGAGGGCACCGACGUCGGUUCUCGUUAUAGUGAUUGGCGCCAGAAAAGGUAUCAACAGUACCCUCCGUGGCAAGAGGCUGGACGGUGGAGUAAUUGUGCUCUCGUUUGGUGUGAACCCGAUCUGGUCUUGAGAUAGCUGGGGGCGGGUUGGCAUAUGCAGGGGUUAAGUGCUACAUAUGUCGUGUGGUUAGGGAUCCCGAGCUGGGUAAAUCGAUUCAGAUCGUCGUUAUAUCCUCAGAUAAUGGAGACUUGAUCACUGCCCUGCAAUCUAAGUCAUGGAUGGAAUCAUAAUAAGCAAAAUUCAUGUUGUAUUGAUUAAUGUGAUGAUGAAAUUAGACUAAAUGCAAACAAGGUUUAUUAAUACUUAAUCUAGCAUUAAAAUGUUGAAAGUAAGGACUCAUUUUAGUAAGCUUUUCUGCAAACUAUUAAAGUUGAUUCUUGCUAAAAGCCUUUCCUUGAUUCCCAAAUCCAGCAUAUCCUUGAGAGUUUUUUUCCUUAGUCGGGUAAGACUUGCGAAAGUACACUCCGUACUCAGGGUUUUCGAACCCAUGUUGUUGUAGGUGAUGAGGAGUAUUCUAGUUCCUGUGGCUGGAGGGCGCAUCCAGUUCUGGAGGAGGACUAGCUAGGUUUAUGUAUGCGCUUUGGAGGGUUCUUACCUUCCUGCUAUUGUAAUAAGUUAUGCACUUUGAGUAUCUCAAGACUUGUAAUAUUUAUAAUUUUUUUAUGUUGUAAAACUUGAGUUUUGGAAAUAUAAAGUAUGUUUGUAAAGUCUUCCGCUCUAUCUCCAAAGUGUGUGUGUAUCGAAGUGAUUACUGUAAUAUACAUGAAUGUGGGAGAUCCUUAGGAUGAUGAGUUCAAGUUGAUGAACUCGAUAGCCUUGUUAAGUUACACAGUACACGUGCAUAACCAUCUGAGGCCGUUAAUGGCAAGGAUUGGUGCAUGUGGGCCCGAUAACUUGGGAGGGCUAUCACAAUCUGUGCUAGGAUAUAGAAGAUCAUCACAAAGUGGAAGAUAACAAAAGUUGUGAGCCACACACCUAUGGUGUACAUGAGUAACAAUGA